This is a long non-coding RNA of Salmo salar (Atlantic salmon), 5637 nucleotides long. RefSeq lists it as uncharacterized. The record is from RefSeq and is a predicted model, not a curated record. Lineage: Eukaryota; Metazoa; Chordata; Actinopteri; Salmoniformes; Salmonidae.
AGGGGCGAUAGAGGGGGUGUUAGCCCCUCCUUACUGCUGUCAUUGAAGAAGAAAAAAAAUAGGAAGAUAAAAAAGAGCAGGAGGAAGAAAGGAAACCACAACCAUAUAGGCAGUGCUAUGGGCAGUGGUCCUCGGCUGAACUGUAUCUGCUGCCUGUUUAACAGUGGGGAGACGACAUUAUUAGGCGGCAUGCUCCUCCCUCUCCACAGCCAGGCAGCCUUAUCUGUCAGCCAUUAGUUAAUCAGGGCUGGUAACGUAGAAGUAGAGCAGAAAACCGGCACAGCGCGUGGGGCCAAAGGACAACCUCUGAGAGCUGAGCUGAGCAGAGCAGGAGGAGGGCAAGGACCCGGGGACCGACCAACCCCUCCACUCUAAACUCUACUACCAGGCUAGGCUGCUGGCUCACUUUACUCAACACUGGAUCAGAGCAUGUCUUUUUCUAGGCAUGGCAGGCUGCAAUUGUAUGAUGACAUCCGCCCAUUCCAUCGCAGAGGACAGGUCCUGUUUUGCAAGGAAGUUUCAAAGACAGAAGUCAAAACAACACAUGCUGUCGACGUGGGAAAAGCUGGUAAGAGCAGAGCAUCGUGGGGCGGAGGAAUGUCAGAGUCAUAGAUCUUUCAACCUCAAGGCCAAAAUAGCCACACACAGGCCUGAUCAUCUCCAUGCAUGGGAAGAAACAAUAAGCAACACCUCAUACUAGCACUAAUACAGUCCAGUCCAACCCUGGCCAACGUGGUCCAAAUCUGGCAUCCAGACAUCAGUGGCCAAAGAGAUAUCGUUAGACAAUUACUACAUGAGUAAGUAGGCUGUAUUAACUGAAAUUAAUUGGUAUUAACUUGCAAAUAGGAUUUCCUCACAAAAGAGUUGGUACAAACCAAUGUCAUAAGUAUAUUUAGGUACCGAAGGUAUGAAAAUAGGGACAUUUCUUAUUGGCGUCACCAUGGAGUUUAUUGUAAGGGCAAUGAUGAUUGAAAGGGAUAUUGCAAUGUCUAAAUAAUUAUUGGUCUGUGUUAACAAAGUUGACAAAAUGUUCACUACAAGUGUUACGUUCGUCGAUGGAAGGAUUUGACCAAGGUGCAGCGUGGUAGGCGAACAUUUUAAUUUAUUAAAUGAACACCGAAACAAAACCAAAAUAAAUUGAAAAAAAUUGAAAAAACGUAAAGUUCAGUCGGGCAUACAGUACAGUACCAAAAACAAGAUCCCACAAUCUAAGGUGGGAAAAGGGGCUGCCUAAGUAUGAUCCCCAAUCAGAGACAACGACAAACAGCUGCCUCUGAUUGGGAACCAUACUAGGCCAACAAAGAAAUAGAAACAUAGAUUUCCCACCCUGACCUAACCAGAUAUAGAAUAAAAGGGAUCUCUAAGGUCAGGGCGUGACAACAAGAGCUUAAUAAGGCUGCUUCUGAUGGAAAAUGAAAGCAGUCAACUAAACUCAACUGUGUAGUUGGUGCCAAACUGUGCCUCUGCCAUGGCUAGAAACUCAAAUAAACAAUCCUAAAAGGGCAUAUUAAGUUUCCCCAACACGAUUCUCUUUUUAAGUCAACACCACUCAGAGAAGAUGAACUGAGCAACCAUAAGUCAACUUUCAGGAAUGACAAAAACAACCAGUUUUUCUACCUGUCCAAACAUUCAGCUAGAACCAAGAUCCAUUUCCAUGUCCCACUCCAGAAACACUCCAUUGGUGCUCCAUUGAGUACAAUGCUGUUGUCUCAUAAAGCUAUGCCAGACCAGGAGAGUGAACCUGAUUUCGGACAGCAGAAUAAUGCUUGAGAUUCUAAAGUGACCUUUUGGCCCAGGAUUUCCAAGAGCUUCCAAGAGUCCCUAUUCCUGGCAAAGUCCAUCCAUCCAAAUUCCUUCUUCUUCUUACUCAACACCACUUCACUGUUAAGCUGUCAAGACCCAAACUCUAGUGUCAUUUAUCCUAGUGACAAGUUCACAACCAAAGCCAAAGACAUGUUGUUCUUGUAAAAUAAAGAAAUAAAACCAAAUGUUAUUUGUCACAUGCUUCGUAAACAACAGGUGUAGACUAAGUGAAAUGCUUACCUGCGGGCCCUUCCCAUCAACGCCGAGAAAAAAGAUAGAAAAAAAUGACAACACAAGGAAUAAAUACACAACGAGUAACAAUAACUUGGCUAUAUACAUGGGGUACAGCUAACGUUUGUCUGUCGGCAUUGUUCAUCCUGGGUUCCCAUAACAGAAUUGCAUCGUAAGACACCAACGACCUUGACCUUGGCCUUGUGUUCCAACCAAAAAGCUACAGUACAGAUAUCGGACAAAGGGCAACAUUUUCCUCUCUCAAAGAGACACAAGACAAUGUUGCCCAAAAUAUUGUAUGAUGGGACGAUCACAUUGUUGUUAGGUUGUUUGUAAUUUAGAGGUGGUUGAUCGUCAACACCUGCCCGUGUGUGUCUCAUUAACACAUUCCUCCAAGUUGAACGCUCUGUUUACACCGCUGUCUUUUUAUGGGGCCGUUAUGGGGGUGAUAUUGUUGUGUGUUGCUGGUGUGUUUCACAAGCCUGAUAUGCUAUCUACCUUUGAUUUCACCCCCACUAUAGCACUCUUUGAAGAUGUGCAACAAUGUACAAUCUGCAGCUGGGCUCAGUGGACUCCAAAAGUGGUGUUAAACCUUGAGAAUAACUGUGUCAACAGUAGAAGGAAAACAAGUUAUUAGGUAAUAGCAUUGACUACAAAGUCAAAGGCAACUAUAAUUCCUUGGCUUCCAGCACAUCAGAUAUAAUAUUUGUCCACCAAUGACUGCCUCACAGAGCCACACUGUAUAUUUUCAGAUCCUAGACGGGUGUCAAACACACAGCCCGUGGGCCGUUUUCGGGGUGAUUUGAGUAUAUACUAUAUUUUUUAAUAGGACUAUAUCAUUAUUCUAUCAUUAUCCUGAGUGGCGCAGCGGUUUAAGGCCCUGCAUCGCAGUGCUAGAGGUGUCACUACAGACCCAGGUUCGAUCCCGGCCGUGAUCCAUAGUCCCUUAGGGCGUUGCACAAUUGGCCCAGUGUCGUCCGGGUUAGGGGAGUGUUUGGCCGGGGUAGGCCGUCAUUGUAAAUAAGAAUUUGUUCUUAACUGACUUGCCUAGUUAAAUAAGGGUUAAAUAUAUAUAUAUAGCUUUUAAAAUUUGAUACUUUAAAAUGACUAAAAGCAAAUACAAACUGUGUACAAAUGAUACAGUUUCUUGACUGUGUCCAGCUCGCUAUUAAAUCACCCAAAUGAAAACAAGACAGUCAGGGAGCAUAGAAAAUUAAAAAAAACAAUGGAUAGAUAACAAUGAAUUUUUUUUUGAUGGCAAGGAAAUAUAACCAAUAUUCAGUGCGGCCCUCCAGACCUCAUUGACAAAAUGAGUUUGUGCUUGCAAUUUACUCUGGCGGAUCUGACGCUGGAGGAUGAUAUAAGAGGACUGAACAUUGCGUGAUGUAAAUGGCGGUGUCGUUUAAUCACAAAAGGAUGGGAGGGAGACGUUGGGGCUGAAUAUGUAACAUCGAUGAGUACUGUAGGCUCAGACAUUGACUUGCUGGAAUGUCUUCACCAUCUGUGAACCAGCGGCCCUAAAGCUCUGAGAGACAGAUGCGCAAGUAGAAACAGACCUGCCAGCCAGGUAGCUAAUGUGGAACAUGCAGUACAGGACCCACAUCACUAAAGGUAGAGCCUGGAAGUCUUCAUAUAAAGAGUAAUACACUGACGUCUAUUGCACUGCUAACUGACGCCACACCAGAAAGCAGCGGUGUAGGGUGUCUUGGUAAGAUGUGAGGUAAAAAGUGAUAAGCUCUACUUUCUAGGGAGAUAUGCUACUUUGAGUGGGUUACCACGUUCUUCUAGGGCAUCCUCAAAAUCUUUCCCACUGAACCAAGUUUGGGGGGGGAUUUUGUUUUGGACAAAUAUGAAGAGUUUGUACAGUCCAACUACCAAGGUACAUCAACAUGAUAGCCACCAACAGGCCCCAACAUAAAUAAUCUCCAGUAGAGACGAGGUGAUAGCAACAUGCAUUGAAGUCCCAUUUCAGAGAGGAUUCACCCCAUAAUCUUUAGAGACCUUUCUCUCAGAUGCGUUGUAAUGCCAGUUGAGAACCUGUUCCCGAUCAUUGGACGUGCCAGGGAAAGCCUAGUUUAAACGCUUCCAGAUCUAUACUUAUUUUAUCCCCCUGCAUCCAUCCCCAGCUGUCGCGCCAGCGAAACAAAAAUCUGCCUAAACUAGUCUCUUCCCCUCUCUCAAUCUUUUCCCCACUCUCUCCCCUGUAUCCAGUUUCUUUGUGGUCGCGAGUCAACUCCUGCCACUUUAUGUCAUCACCCUCCGUCACUGAGACUGCAUUAGUGGCUAUGUCUAAACGAGGCUUUAAUGUACAGGACUAGGCCACAUAGAACCAAAUAUAUAUCAAACUUUGAAGUUUGACAUCAACCGUGCUUGAUCGCAGAUGUCUAUACAGGCAGGAGGGUUCACUGGUUUAGAUGAAAGACUCUCCAUCGCUGACACAUAAUAUUUAUGUUCCAUAUGUACUAUAUAAAUAUCUUGUCUAGUUCUCUCUCAGUCAAACGUUAAGAAAUGUGUGUGUUUUGUUGGGCGAUCUGGGAUAAAAACAAAUCAAUCUUUGUAUACAAGCCAUGUCUUUUCUUUGUCAUUUGUUUCUAUUGAGGCAUGGCAGCAUUAUUUGAUUGCUCUCUAAAUUGCACAUCAAUGAUGACGGAGAGCAUGCUAAUAUUACAGUUGUUUUUUAAUCAAAUCCUGGGACAAAAACAAAUUACUUUGAUUUAAAACAGACAGGAAAUGUAAUAAUGAAAAAAAAUAGACUUAUUUUAAUAUAUGUUUUGGCUGUCCUCCAUGUUUUCCAACUGUUUGGCCUUUCGAUACAAACUUUGUUGCUGCUGUCAAAGCUAUACUUCUGUCCAAAGAUGUUGAUGCCUCAGAUAACAUCUCGAAGCAGAAUCUGGUUUGGUGCCUCCAAAGGCUUAACCCUCCGAACAUGCCAAAUCCUACAAGUAUACUGUCCAAUACAACUCAUCAAUUGCAUAAUUUGGUUUGGUUUAACAUUGAAUAAACCAUCACUAACAGGGACCAAAUGUAAAAUUAGCAUCCUGCUCUGGUUUCCAACCUAUGACAAGAACCAUGCUUGAAGAACUGAGACUGAGGGAACCUCCAAGUCUCUAAGUCCUAGCUAGCUCCAGUUGAUCAGUGCUAGACCGGCAUAUGGGCUGGAUCAGAAAACACAAGCUCAAUGAUGUUACGACCAUCUGACCCCAGGGUGACAGGUUUAGAGAAUUUGCCUCAGGCCAAAGUCAAAUAUGUUUAUGUUGUUCAUUUUAUGUUGUUCAUUGAUUUCAUUUUAACAAAUGCGUUUCAUUCAGGGUCACUUCAACAAAGAUCGCUCUCAUUGGGACUCCCCCACUAACUGCAGGAAAUUGUGUUUAAGCAACAAAUAGGCAUAAAUUCCUAAAAUGUUGGAGUGUUCAAUUCAUCACACUGCCUUAUUGUUGGUUAGUGCUGCUUCACCCCAAAAAUGUUUGCAGCUGUUUUUAAAGCAAUCAUCAUUACUUAAUGAUGUUACCAUUGUUGCUAAAUCUAUUUUGUGUGGAAGUUUACUGCUCCCAAACUGUGUUUGAAUAACAAAAUCUGUGCAAUAAAUGUCAAUUAUGUUCUGUC